AUGGCUCUAUCAGCUGAAGAUCAGCAGUAUCAACUACAAACUUCUCCGUCAAAGCUAAUUUUCCAGUCUCCCUGGAGAAGAUUGGUUGUGUACACAUUCCUCUCCAGGCACCUGCACAGGAUGUGGGCACACUCAAGGACAGGAAGGCUUUCUGUUCCCCAAACAUGCAGGGGUACUCUAAUCCCAGGAACAAUGAGGGUCAGAUGGACCUUUCUGGGCCCUCCAACUGAGCACGUGAUAUUCUUCCCCUCAAAGCUGCAGCUUCUGGCAUUGUCUGGCACUGACAUUCACUUGGUGCUGCUGCUUCAGGAGAAAGGAAUUGUUUUUGAGGAGGCGAAAAAAAGCCCUCUGCCUUGGAUGAGGAUGUUCGGUGGGCCACCAUCUAACCAAGACACAUAGGCAUUGUACUGGAGCUCAAACUAUGUUGCUGGCUGCAAAAAGAUGACUGGCAGAAAAGAGAAUUUUGGCUAUUUUACUAGGGAAUUCCUGGCAUAAUGCAAAAGCCCAGACAGUGCAGUGACUAUAAAUCCUUGGGCAGUGAAUCACAACAUGUGUUCAGUGCAGCUCUACUGGACAUGCAGGGACUGGAAGACAUCUAAGACCAGAAGAUGAUUAUGCUUUGUUUGCUAUUCAGAUACACAGUGCCUGUGUAAUAAAAUUUCAUAUUCUAGGUGUAUUGGAAUUGUU
Molecule: long non-coding RNA, 687 nt
Filed under: Anas platyrhynchos platyrhynchos (common mallard)
Lineage: Eukaryota; Metazoa; Chordata; Aves; Anseriformes; Anatidae
Description: lncRNA (ENSAPLG00000027264.1)
Source: RNAcentral